Amphiprion ocellaris (clown anemonefish) is the source of this 13209-nucleotide long non-coding RNA. RefSeq lists it as uncharacterized. NCBI's taxonomy places the organism in Eukaryota, Metazoa, Chordata, Actinopteri, Pomacentridae. The record is from RefSeq and is a predicted model, not a curated record. The transcript has 2 exons.
AUGCUCGCCUAUCUGCUGAAUGGAAUGAGCAAUUAGAGGGUGGAAUAUUAUUGCGAUCUUAACGAGGCUCGUUAAAGCUAAAGAAGAUAUGUAGACUGGAGAUGCUUAGCAGAGACGGGCGGGGAGGGAGGGAGGGAGGCAGAGGGAGCUUUAAAUGGGUGACAAAUGGACAACCAAUGACUGCAACUCGGGAAUACACGUUUUGAAUAGAAGCGAGUCAAUUUGCACAUUAUUUUCGCAUAGUUUUUCCUGUAGUUGCUACUUUUUUAUCUUUCCAUCAGCCCAUUCAUUUUUUCUCUCUUGUGCGAGGCGUUAGAGUGUUCUAGCUGCAUUUUUUUCCAAACAAGUUAUCGCUUUCUUGUUUUCUGAAAUAUCAGACACAGUCCUGUAACCGUUUGGCUUUUGCCCCGGAUUCGUCGGUGAUUUUAUCAUAUUUUACAAAAAAAAAAAAGCAUUUUUUCUGACAUGAUCGGGGGCUGGCUGGUGUGUGGUCACUCGGUGCUGCUGGUCCGGGUGUAAGCUGCAGUGUGAUGCCGCUCCCCCUCCUGCUGUCCCCGGCCCCUGCCUCCGGGACGCUGGGUCCAGCCCUGGCCCCCUGCCCGCUGCCUUUUCUCUCCAACCAACACAAUUUAUUGUUCAAAAUGAAUAUCGAUGCGCAGCGUUGUGUUGAUUAAACACAGAUCAUGGUAUUGUAGAACUAAUUUGCCAGCGCCCUUUUAGCUCUUUAUUUUUUUCCAUAGUCCGGCCCUCUAAUUAAAACCAUUAGUAUUGGAAUUGCAAUCAAAUGGCAACAUGAAAGCUUCUUGGGCACAUAAAAGCAGUUUUCAUGUAUUUGAUCUAGUGGUAAGGACAUGAUCAAUGUCCACAUCCAGUCACAGGAUUCGGCUUACAGCGGUAGCCACGGCGGUGUGAUUUUCAUGUUUAUGGCUAAAACGGCUUCAUAUUUAGACAGGGCUUACAGGGUGUUAAAAUAGUGUGAGUUCACUCUAACACGAACAGUGCUCACAUUGUGAAAGAGCCGUGUACAAGGCGUAGCAUCUAGACUCCGCUUAAUCCGCCCUCAAUAAAGCUGACAUAAUGAUCCUAAGCCGCCUUUCUACAAAAUCAUUCAGGAAUUCAAAACUUUUCCUUCCCUCUCCGAUUUACACAUUCUCCGGGGCUGACCGGAUAGACCACCGACUUCAAGCUUGGAGGGACAGUGAGUAGAAACCAUGCAUGUGCCGUCAGUGCUACCUGUUUAUAUUCACCGUUUGACCUCAACUGACAUACUUUAUGGAUGUCUGUGCGAAAUUAUCCCUGCCAAUAUUUGCGCACCUUUACGCAUCAGCGUUUUGGGGGCAACUUUGUGUGUAGCUGCGCGCACGCGUGCUGUGCAAGUGUCUGUGGUGCAGAGUUGUGGGGUUGUGAUGAUGUUGCAGGCUCAGACGUUUUGGUUUUGGGGAUGUGCGCGCCUGUUUGUGCGAGGGGGGUGGGGUGGUACACGGGAUCAAACCUGUCCACUGCGCUGCUGCACGAACCUCAGGAGGAGUAAUUCCAAGUGGCACUUGAAUUGGUCCCAUUGGAAAGCUCUGUGGACUGGAAGUAAAGGCUGGUAUUUUCAUGCUGGUGUUAAAACUAACCUCCUAGCCUAUACCCCCUCUCCCCGCUCUCUCCCCCUUACUGCCCCCCCCCUCACACACACACACAUGCAUGCAUGCACGACCCCAACAUUAAGUUGAGAGUGCAGGCUUAGCAGCAACUCCUCCGAAUAUGCAAAGCCUCCUACCUGACUGGGUUCCUGGUGCACCAAUUUAGGUGAUCACCAUUGAAUCCAAGGCUGCAGGUAUUAACCAGCAUUAUGUUCUGGAGGAGCCUUGUUUGGGAGUAGCCCUCGCAGGCAAUUCGGAAAUCACUCCUAGAAGAGACUAGAGGUGAAAUGUAAAACCUGAAUGGGGAUUGAGGGAGGAAAGCCACUGGUAAUUCACAUUCUUUUACAUGGCUUUUGUUUACGUUAAGCAUGUAAUUAACACCCCCCAAACAAGUUUAUUCACCUGCCGUAAUUGUGUGUUUAUCCGAGAGCUUGCUGAAUGUUCCUAGCAGCGGGGGACGAGAGCUCUGAAUGCACAUCGAGCAUUUAGCGUCUUGUCCGUUUAUUUACAGCCUAAACCUCCAGACACGACAACACAAACAGCAUUCUGCACGCUGAAACGCUGGGAGAAUGUUGGUCAAGCAUGCACAGAUGCUUCUCCUCUGCUCUGCUGCCACAUCUCUGCUCCUGUGGCACCUUAUUCCUGUUGUUAAACUUUGUUUAGAAAACUUUUGUGUGAAUAAAGUUAUUAAUUUCGUUGUUUAAGAAAUAGGCUACUACUAAUAUUUGAUUCCAUUACAUCUUCUUGUGCCACAGACUGAAUCUAAAGCAUAAGUCACCACGUUGAUUAAUUGCCAGUAAGUAACUUAUUUUCAUUGAGUCUGUUCCAAUAAGGGGAGCAAAUAAACAAAGCUGAUAUUACGUCAUGUACGGGAGUGAGCGAGAGAGAGAAGGGGACCGGAUGAGAGAAAGAAAGGAAAAGGUGUUGACUGUAAAAGGUAAGAGGGAAAGAGAAAGAAGGCACGAAAGAAAGGGUCUUGUUUUAUUUUUUGCUCCCUCGUUGACCCCAGUUUGGCAGAGGCUGGCCAGAAAAGGCAGCACACCCCUCCCUUACAAACACAGGAGAGACUCUGUGUUUGCUGCUCCAUCCUGGAUUCAUCUCAACAAUACACAGGACGAGACUUUGGAGAAAUGAUGGAGCUGUGACCACUCCACGGACUGUCACCAUUUGCAACUGGAGGUGGCACCGGUUCACUGCUAUUUCACUGCUCGAUGUGCCCGAGAUCGUGAUGGAAAUUCUACUGCGGCUCCUGUAAGUUCUGUCACCUGUAAGCUGACUCGUUUCCGUCUACGAUGGUGCCAAUAAUGUUCCGUAAACUGUGAGUAUUUUUAUUAUUAUUUUUGCGGAUAUUUCUUUAUUAAAAUAGUUAUAGUUUUUUUUAAAAUCCCAUAAGGCGUUUUAAUUUGAACCGGGAAGCAUCUCCUUUUUUAAAUGUGGUGUUUUUGCCAUUUUUAAUCACUGAGCACCGGGGAGGAUCUGCGCCUUUGCAGCGCAGAUGUGUGAUGCUGUCGGGUUGGGGCGCACAAUCCCCUCCGUCCCAUGCUGGCCAUUCCAGGGUACGGAGACUCGACACUGUGUCUACACUGUAAAAAGUAUCAAUCUAAAAAAGUCGUUUAUUGUAACACUGAGUUUUAAAAACAGGCAUUUCUGUUUUGAAAAUGUAUCCAUCAUUCGUUUGGCUAAAACGUGCGCAAAUCCUGGUAACAGGAUUGUGAUUAUUUUAUGUUUCCAUAUGGACUUUUUUCAAAACAGUUUAAAAUCAGUGUUAUUUUCUGAAUUGUAAUGGAGAUAUUCUGGGCUGAAUGUAUUCUGAUUGCUCUAAAAGGCUAACAUUUGUUUUUGGAAAAAAAAAUGCUGUGCGUAAAAAUUACUCUUUAUGCGUAAAAAUUGCCACUGGCAGAUUUUCAUUGCAUUUGCGGAAAAUAUGCUAAAAUCAAGACUGGAAAUUUAAGAUAUUUUUUGCAGUGUAUUAUCCCCUACUCCCACGGGAAGCCUAUAACCAGCUCCUGUAACCAUUUUAUUCUAUUUUUCCUCUUUAAACCCGUUCCAAACUGAAAUUACGCAUGCCAUUUUGCCUAUAAUUUGCUUGACAUCCAGUGCCAAAACCACUGAGUCUGCUGCAGCAGCUUUAAAGUGUGAACAGUUGCUAAAUUAUAACCACAGGUGCAAUAGGUCACCCUUCUGUUUGUGGAAGCUGCAUUAAACUCAACACUGCCUUCAUUUGGAAUUAAGGAAAUGGAAAAAUGCGACGAUUGAAUAUGCAGGUUUUUGUGCAAUUGUUGUCACAAUGAUCUCUAAAUGUGGCGCCAACUUUAACAGCUAAGCUUGUACAAAAGUUUUUAACAUCGCUCUCUUUCUCUCCCUCCCUCUCUCUCUCUCUCUCUGUCUGUCUGUCUGUCUCUCUCAGUCUCUCUCCCCUUUCCCUCCCUCCUUUCUUUUAUUGUUUUUAUUGUGUGGUCUCAUUAGGGGGACUUCCUGGCAGGGCUGGGAGCUUGUAUCGGAGCUGUCCAAUCAGUGUAUUUACACGGGUUGUUAGCGACAGUUAAUGAGGGCUCCUCCCCGGGCCGGUAGAGAAAGGCGCCUCAACAUUAAGAUUUACCUUGUGUCAACUCGUUACUUCUAAUGAACCUCCAUGCAAAAAGCCUCGCCGUACUCAAUGGAGCCGUGCGCCCGGAUCUUGUGUUUGAGACCCUGGAAGAGUGGAGCUGCAAGCCGGCCUCCCUCUCCCCCAUCCCCUUUUUCUUCCGCUCACUCAGGGAGAGUUGCUUUUUCUCUGCAGGUCCGGGUCUGUGGUGCAUGCUGUGUGUGUGUGUGUGUGUGUGUGUGUGUGUGUGUGUGUGUGUGUGUGUGUGUGUGUGUGUGCGUGUGCGUGUGCGUGUGUGUGAACAUGUGUGUCGAAUGAAGGUGGGUGGUGCACACAGCCUACUGUUCAUAAAAUGUCACUUUAGUAAACCAAAAUCUGCACAGUAACACCUCACUAUAUUCCGCUUUAAAUCAACACAUUACUAACAAAAUUGUGUUGAAACGGAUAUAUUAUCUAAAAACGGUUGUCUAGUCAUCUCUUCAAGUGUGAUCAGAGGCGAUCAGGACGGUGUUUGCCUGUCCCCUAUCACAAAAUACGUCCUCUAUUAUGUGUUGACUGAGGCCUGACCUGUCAGCUUCUUGCCUCUGCAGAAGUAAGUUCAUUUAGCAUCGUCCUCCAUCCCCCCACGGGAGCACCGAGCGCGGAUCGGACUCCAGCCCCUCUGUCCACCCCUCGUCUGGCCCCCAGUGUGGCUUGUUGAGCCGCAUCAGCAACACAUCACUGCCCCUCAAUUCAGGUACAAACUGGAGGAGUUUGGCAGAUCCCUGAAGUGGACUCCCCUCUUUACUCUGCUAAACCACAGAGACACCACUUAAAAAUCAAUUAGGCUCGUCUAGUCUCUCCCUGCGCGCCAGUCAUCAUUUCAAAAACACCAAAUUUUGGGAGGGAUUAAAACUAAAAAACCCAACUUGGAUUCAUUAUUUAAUUUUAACGUGGGUACAGUUGCACCUUAUAACCAUUCUGAAUUUCCACUACUACUACCACCAGGCUGCUCUCUACCUUCAUGAGAUAAUUUGCUUAUUUAAGUUGCUGUAUCUGAUAGAUUUUGUGCCAAGCUUCGCCUCUACUCCAGCUGCGAUUGGUAAAUAAAACGUUCCCUCUGACAGGACCUUUCAGUAUGAAGAGCGCUUAAAAACUGUUACACAAUAUGUUUGUACACGAUAAUGGGGUUUACCAUUUCGUAGACAAAUCUACAUCCAGCAGCAGCCAGCAGGUGACAAAGUGGCUUCUAUACUCCCGGUUGUUGGCACUUUGUCACCUGCUGGUGAUAGUGACAGAAAACAGUUUGGUUUCCAUAUUCUUCUAAAGACACAGAACUGUUCCUAAAAUCCAUCUGAUCACUUACACAGCCUCCUCCUUCAUGCCGAUAACUCCAUAUUAAAUGCGUAUUUUCUCGUGUCGUAUCUUUUCGACGCCGCUCAGUCGCCCGGUCCUCCGUGUUGCAGGGGAGCAGCAGCGCUGGAGGAGGCCGCGUGUUCACUCUUCCAGGUAGAUGGGCUGAUUUGGAGACGGAAAUAAAUAUAAUGGGUGCAUAUCAGAUGCAUGGCCCCGAGCUUUACAUAUGAUGCUCACCUUCCAUUCCCCAAUGACUUUUGCUUUUUUAUUUUUUUUAAAGAGCAAAACAAAACCUUCUCCACUUCCUCAGCUUUACUUCAGCCUCUCUUGUGCAGCACCUAUUAGGCCGCACGUUUAGGCCCAAAAUCUGCACUUUCAGGCCUGUAAAGUGUCCAGAGUUACAUCAGCACAAAUGUUGACAGAAUUUCUCUUUCUCUCUCUCUCUCUCUCUCUUUUUUAUAAAGAGACUGGUUUGGAUUUGCCUGUCCAGGCUGAUUACGCGCAGCGGCUCUCAGAUGCAGAUCGGAGCUGUGGCCCUUUAGCCCGGUGUCACCAGAGCUGACGAGCUGUAAUUACUGCGGCUGACAUAUCGCUCUCAGAGCUCACUAAUGUGAGGGACGUGGACAGCUCAGGCAGCUCGUAUGCAGUAGAGGCUGCUCAACUCUUUGGCCACGGAGUCGCUUGAGAUACAGGCGGGCUGCAGGCCACAUGCUUCUGCUGACCUUCUACAUUUUAACAUUUGAGUAGCGAAGCAGCCUCUUAUUUAUGAGCCAGUGAUACGGUGGAGGAGAUCACAAGGCUGCAAGUGAAUGAAAAACACAAUUUAACAGUAAACCAGUGGUGGAAAGUAAUCGAGUAGAUUUACUUAAGUACCUUAUGUACAGUUCUAAUGUAUUUAUACUUCACUGGAGUGGAUUAAUUUACUUCUACUCCACUAUUUACACUGUUAGCUACUUACAAAUUAAUAUUUUACGCACUAAUAUAUCAUAGCCUUCAAAAUAGUAGGUAGUAAUUAAUAUUAAGCUACAAGAUACAACAAUUGUCACCUUGAGCUUCCUGCAUGUUAAUUCAUCAAAAUUAAUAGUUAAAUAACAUAAUAUAGAGCAAGCAGAAGUAACCUCACUGUAUCAGAAGUAGAACUACAGUAUAAAUUUCAGGUAGAUAGAGGCAGAGAUAGUUCAGCUUACAAAUAUACUUUAUACAACAAAACAUAGUCAAAUGGGGGUUAUUUUGCAUAGUGAGCACUUUUAUGUUGAAUCAUUUAACAUUUUGCUGAUAUUUCAGUAAAUGCAACACUUUAGGCUUCUCUAAAUUCAACCUUAAGGAUCUGUUUCUUCUUGUAGAUUGAAAAUGUUUACCAUUAUAUUAUAAGAUUGCUAGAUGUUUCUAUUAGAUGAGCAUGCUAUUAUUAAUCAUAAACUAGUAAAUGAUCUCAGUAGCUGCUCGUCACAAUCAUUUAAUUCAUCCCACAACAAAUAGAAUUUAAGUUUCUCAGCGGUUAAAUUCAAUAAUUUCGUCAAAGCUUUAUUUUAUAGUCAGUAACUGUGAAAUAUUUAUAGUUCCACACUGAGUUUAGGUGUGAAAGGACCCACAGUUCUGUCAUUGUCUCACAUUUUGAUUGUUACGCUGUUUGCUUGGCACCAAAACCAACAAAUCCGACGUCUCUCCCUCCCUGUCUCCCUGUGUCUCUCUCUCCCUCUCCCCUCCUUGACUGCAGCUUUUGACAUUACUCCACUCGAUUGCCCGUUUACCCCCAAGUCAAGUUUGAGGCAGACAUGAAGUGUAAAAGAGGUGGGCCAUGUCAUAUCCGCUCAGUGUGCAGGGGAUUGUUGGCCUGCGUGCUGCUGAUCAUUGUUCAGGAGAACAAUCCAGGCAGGAAGAAGGCAGCAUGUCAGAAAACCUGCAAGAAUUAUUGAAAACCGAGGCUGCUUGGACAUUUUUUGCUCAUAGUUUUUAUUUUUGUUUUAUUUUACAGCAGUCUCAGUCCGGGUUUCUAUGAGAGCAGGGUUUGUUUACAUGUGGAUAAAUUACUUUCAGCACAUUUAGGUUAAGACUGUCCUUCAUUAAAACUCUGCAGUCUGGAACAUUUAUACAGCUGGACUUUGAAGAGAUUUUGUGACACUGAUCUGAAGGUAUUGCUAGCAUUAAUGAGAUUCAUCCCAUCUACCUUAAUAUGUUACAAAAACACGUUUUUCCCUUAAACUGGCCUAGAUGACCCUAAAUUAUUACCAAAAAUGGCUUUCUAGGAAUACUUUGAAUACACACACACACACACACACACACAUAUAUAUAUAUAUAUAUAUAGAGAGAGAGAGAUGCUAUUUAUGUAUUUAUUUAAUGUUUGUUGAUGUUUAUGUCGCCUAAAAUGACUUGAUUUUUUGGUAGAAUUAUCUUCUAUUCCCAACAUGUUCUUUUGGGUUUGGUUCUUGCUGCUUGGCUGCUUUUGUUUUUCUGCUGUAUAGUUGCAUUGGGGUCCUACAUGAAAUUUCAUUUCAUUUCUAUUGGUUUUAUUUAUAUAGCAUCAAUGCACAGCAUAUGUCACCUCAAGGCACUUUACAUAGGAAGAAUUUCACAAAAUUAACCAGUGAAUCUGAAAAUAUAUCCAGAGUUUCCUUUUUCGGUUCCUUUUACUCAUCAUUUGACACCUUUUGAAUGUAGAAAGUGCAGCUGAUUCUUCAACAUCUAACUGGUGUAGAUGUUUCUCUGCAGUUCACAUCGCUGUUUUACUGAUUGAUUCAGUAUUUGGCUAAUUGAUCCCCAAACGUGGUUACCCGAGGUGGUUGCUAGGCAACAGAUUAGUGCCGGCGUAGUCUCAGGUGUAUUUCUUAUCGAGUUCAUCGCAGCGGCUUGGACUCAGCAGCCAAUCAGAGGAGGUGAGGAGCGGAACUAACCGUCCUGUACCUGGAUAUUAGCUUACAGGAUAAUAACGGAGGGACGAGGAGCCGUUUAUUCACGGCUGAGCUGCGCCCGUCCGGUCUGAUUUGUGUCCGCGACUCAGUUUGGCUCGACGGAUCAAUAGAUGAUGUCUGGGAGAGGUGGGGGGGAGAGAAAUGAGAGGAAAGGAAAGGUGAGGUCAGGUAAGGUGCAACAGGUCAGUAAGAGAAUGACCCAGAGCAGAUCUGCGUAAAACCAACUUCUAUGGAAAUUUUGCAUUGAGACAGUUUGUGUUAAUAAAAAGUAAGACUCGUUUCUGUAGUAAAAGCUUCUUAUUCGUGAUAUUGUGUCGUGGUAGAUGAGAUAAUAAGACUGUAUAUUAAUGAAAAGCAAUAUGCUGUAAUACAUAUUAAACAGCAAACUAGUGGCAGAAAGUAAUGGAGUACAUUUAUUUAAGUAGUUUUGAGAACUUCUGUUGCAUUAAUACUUGUGUUUCUCAUUUAUUUGAUAGCUGCACAGAUUAAUGUUUUACAACAAAAUAGGUUAUCAAAAAAAAAUAUGACGUAUUAAUUCAUGUUAAGUUAUUCAGGAAUAUAUGAAGUUGUACUAGUUUAGCCUUGUGCUCCCAGCAGGUUCAUUUAUCAGGAUUAAUCUUUCCUUCUAUUAUAAAGGUAGCAGAGGUAAAGUCACUGGAUCAGAAGUGGAGAGUGACUGAAUACUUCUACUCAAGUAUUGUACAAGUUUGACUUACUUUCACUAGUCUCCCUUUUAUGCGUUUUUUAAAAACUUAAUCUCUAUUAAAUACACCAAAUUUUGUGGAAUGUUUUCCUACAGGCAGUUUAUUUGUGCUGUAAAGUAGCCUGUUAAAUAAUAAAAACAACAUUUUGGCAGCAUAUGAGGCCUCUUAGUUAUGAGCUAGUGAUAUGUAUGUAAAUGAAAAACAGCAUGUUGUAAUACUUAAAAUGAAUAUAACAGUGGUGAAAAGUAAUACAGUACAUUUACUUAAGUGAUGUAUUUGUACUUCAUUUGAGUGUUUCAAGUUUAUUUCUCUCUACUCCGCUAUUUUUUAUCAUGCAAAAAUUCAGGUUAAACUAUUCAACUGUAUGUAAAGUUGUUAAACAGUUUGACCUCGAUCUAAAUACAAAAGGAACAUUAGAAACUGCACAGGUAGCUACAGGAAGGUGACUAAUCAGACUAAUCCCUGAGUGCUUUUACUAAAGUAUUGUACAAAUUUGAUGCACUACUGUUGUUUUAUACUUCACAAAAAAAAGAAGUCAAUUUAUUUUAUUCUCAUUUAGGUUUCUUUUUGGGAAAAAAAAAGCAGUCUGCAUGCAUUAUAGAUUUUGGGUGUAAUAAUGCUGGAAAAUAAGAAUUAUUAUUAUUAUUAUUAUUAUUAUUAUUAUUAUUAUUAUCACUAUUAUUGUUAUUGUUAUUAUUAUUGCCUGAGAUUAAACCAUAACAUACUGACAUUUGUUAUGUCAGUAUGUAGAAGAAUUAUCAAACAUAACCAAAGCUGUCAUUUAAAUUGGAUUCUGACCAUUACGCAUGAAAAGAGCGCAAUUCUGCGGCCUGAAAAUAAGAUUUUCCUCCUUAGCUUCUGUCCGUGUGUCUGUGUGGAAGCAGAAUGUCCUUCUGGAUCAACUCUUUGAUUCCCAGACUGAGUAUUUUGUCUGCUCACGGUGCUGAUUGGCUUCUGGCAGUAUCAGUAGUUUAUAUCAGGUCUGUGCGCUCACCAUGCACACCCACUGGCCGCUAUUGAAACCAUAAAUGUUUCCACACGCGUGUACUGCAGGAAUCAUCGGAGCCUGCAUGCGUGUAACCUGCCAUCCAUCUCCUCUGUGCAGCUCACAAAAUAAAACCCCCGAAGUGCCACCCAGACCACACAGCCUCCUAAUAUUCCAAUAACACCAACCGUGGACUUGACCUAUAUCCGCCUGCGACAUAUUCCAGCUUUGUUACUGUUGUUCAUUCAUUAUUCAGGUGGCGAUGAUUGGCUCUGGAUGGCAGAUGUCAGAGCGUGAUGGAGAUGUUUGUGUUUGACUGAUUUAAGGAGCCAUUAUCCCGCCCGCUUAUCAAACAUUCAUGUGUGGCAGCUGUAGUUGUGGAUCUGCCCUCCGCCGUGUCUCCUGUGGCCGCUUCGUUUCUCUUCUUAAGCAGCCACGACCUUUCCACUCGGUUAACCUAUUAUCUUUUAACAUUUAAGAGGCAGCUCAGCUCCUUCUGAGGAACGAAAACAUCUGAAAGCAUCACAUAUAGGCUCUAUAUCACAGAAAAAAAUGUAUAUGACAAGCCAAACCCUUUGUAGCAGAGAAUAUAGAUCGUUUUGAAUUAAAAAAUGGAGCUUUAAGUGUCCAUUAAACGACAGAAAAAACAUCACGAAUAGCGCAGAAAGUUAAAUAUAACGUCUAAUACGACUUAAGUGAACAAACUAUAAUGAAUACAAGAAUAAAAAUGUAAAAAAUAUGCUACAUAAUGUCACUAUGAGCGACACAGCACCAAAUUAGACGAAUAUUACACUAACCUUUGCUUGAAGGUAUCGAUUCCCUUCACACAAUUAGUCUUUACAGCUAAUUGCACAUUAGUAAAGAUCAUAACAAAAUGGUUUGACUGUAUAGACGGCAAUUAAUUCUGAUGUGAGUCAUCAGAGGCACCAUUAUUAUUAUUUUUAAUCAUUUAAUAUGCAAGAAAAUUUAAAGUAAUUUUAUUCUUCGCAUAUUUUCUCAGAUGUAAGUUGCUUUUGUGGCUUAGAGGCUACUUAUCACAAACCAAAAUGCAAUUUAAAUAAGAAAUAAAUUCCUUUUCUGAUUUUUUUCUUACAAUAUAAAGGUACAAGGGGGACACAUGAAGUGUAGGGAAUUUAUGAGCAUAAAACACUUGAUGUCCUGCAUUCUGGUGAAUGAUUUUUGCUUCAGUUUUAUGCACCAAUUUGUGUUGGAAAUGUCUUUAAUUUUACAAAGAAAACACUAAAUGCAGGCACAGUUUGACAAAUCCAAACAUAAUGGAAUAUAAUGCAGUUAGACUCUCAGGGAGUUUUAAAUAUUUAUUCUCCUGUAGAUCAACUUUUCUUAUUUAAUAUCAUCCUUGCUGGGUAGAUACACAUCCCAGCAUCAUUUAGUCUUUUUUCUGUCCUGUUUUUUUAAAGUCACUUCUUUAAAUUGUUACUUUAAAUUGAAUUCUUUUGAAUUCAUUUGUAAUUAUAAAUCAAUAUGGAAGAGUAAUAACCAGGAAACAUGAUGGGCUGUUUGUGUAAUCCUAAAAUACAGAACUUAUCAAGACAAAUUUUAAAAAUAUAGAUUAAGUUUUACAGACUUUAAUUGCUCCUAUCCAAUAUUCCACAUCAAAACAGCUAAAAGGAAACUUCUCCAUUUUAAUCCUGGUGCAACAUAGUUGUUUUCUAAAAGCUUUAAAAAUGAAAGAAAUCCCUGCAGCCUCUGAUGCUUCCAUGGAAUCUUUUCUCUGCCUCCACAGACCAUCCAGUCCAUGUCUCUUUUUUUUUUUUUUUGUAAUUGCCUUGCCAACACGGUGGUUUUCAUUGGUCCUGACCCCUCCAUGAACAGCACGCCGCCGCCCUCGCCGCUCUCACCCCUCCACCCACCCCCACAGCCUCCACACGGACCCCCGCACAAUGCCGCGUGUGCGUGCGCGCUCUGCGGGUAUGUGGGCCAGAUGUCGUGCAGAGGUAAUGGGAAGUAGUCGGAAGGUGAGGUCGCGGGUUCACGGCGGGGUUAAAGAGACCCGUCCGUGGCUUCUGUUUUCUUCUUCUUCUUUUUCUUUUUUUUCUUGUUUCCUCCACAGCUCCGCUUCCUUCCUACCGGAGGAUGUGUCCAGUGCGCCACCGCGCUCACCCCGCCGCAACCCCGUCAACUGCGCACAGCCUGUUUGUUUUUCUGCGUUUAUUAAAUGUUCCCCCGGCAGGAAAAACCACCAACAUCACCACGUCACCGGGUGCUGGUGAGUUUCGCACUUUGCAUCCCUCCUCGGCUGCCUGAGAAGUCUUUUGUGUUUGGACUUGUGAAGUCUAUUUAUAUCCACAUGCAGGCAGGAGGACCGUUCAAGGCUGCUGCAGUUUAUCCUCAAGGUUCAACACAACAUUUCCAAAAACAUCCGCACACAUUAACAAUUUUAAACCACCUUUGCUGCACUUUUCUUCAAAAAUCAUUAAUUAUUUCUCCUAUCAGACAGAAGUCAGAGACCCUCCACCCCAUAAUGAACAAACCACCACUUCUGCCCCUUUGCAUCAACUUUCUGAUGAAUCCACGUUUAAGCAGAAUAACAGUGCAGCUGAAAGGAAACAGACAUAAAUGUUCUUUUUUUCCUCUCUUUUUUUAGUACAGAGAUUAUUAUUAUUAUCUCAUUAGGGAUAACUGCCUGCAGGUCAGGUGGGUUAUCCACCAUUUUAAUUGCCACAGCAUCAUUGUUCAGGCCUUUAACCAUUUUUUUGUAGGUUUUUCUCUAAUGUAAUGAGACUGUGUGUAUUAUGGAAAUGAAGUCUAUAUGAUGGAGAUAAUUCAAGUGAAAUCAUUAAAGCCUGGGAUUCUUAUAGGAUAGAAUGUCUUUUUUUAAAUUGUAUUCCUCUUCUGUUGGAUGCAGGUGUUAUUUAGGUUUAGCUUACAGCUUAUUUUUGCAUAUAAAGUUAUAAAAAUGUAAAUUUAUUUUUUAAAAUAAAAAAUAGGUUAUCUAUAGAUGAGAAGAAAAUAAUCGACACCCUGCUUUUAUAGACUUGAUUGUUCUGCAGUUUCUCUUUCAGAUUUGUCAAUAAAACAACAAUAAAACUUGUUUUAAAAGCAA